RNAcentral lists this ribosomal RNA (467 nucleotides) under uncultured bacterium. Its description in RNAcentral is "partial 16S ribosomal RNA". It matches the Rfam family "Bacterial small subunit ribosomal RNA", at positions 28 to 507 of the family's 1533-position model. The record is from RNAcentral.
GAUGAACGCUGACAGAAUGCUUAACACAUGCAAGUCAACUUGAAUUUGGGUUUUUAACUUAGGUUUGGGUGGCGGACGGGUGAGUAACGCGUAAAGAACUUGCCUCACAGCUAGGGACAACAUUUGGAAACGAAUGCUAAUACCUAAUAUUAUGAUAAUAGGGCAUCCUAUAAUUAUGAAAGCUAUAAGCGCUGUGAGAGAGCUUUGCGUCCCAUUAGCUAGUUGGAGAGGUAACGGCUCACCAAGGCGAUGAUGGGUAGCCGGUCUGAGAGGGUGAUCGGCCACAAGGGGACUGAGACACGGCCCUUACUCCUACGGGAGGCAGCAGUGGGGAAUAUUGGACAAUGGACCGAGAGUCUGAUCCAGCAAUUCUGUGUGCACGAUGAAGUUUUUCGGAAUGUAAAGUGCUUCCAGUUGGGAAGAAACAAAUGACGGUACCAACAGAAGAAGUGACGGCUAAAUACGUG